RNAcentral lists this ribosomal RNA (538 nucleotides) under Popcornella furcata. Its description in RNAcentral is "partial 16S ribosomal RNA". The stretch from base 147 to 444 matches the Rfam family "Archaeal large subunit ribosomal RNA", at positions 2151 to 2715 of the family's 2987-position model. Lineage: Eukaryota; Metazoa; Arthropoda; Arachnida; Araneae; Salticidae. The record is from RNAcentral.
GAUAAUUUUAAUAGCCGCAUAUGUGCUAAGGUAGCAUAAUCAUUUGUCUUUUAAUUAAAGACUAGAACAAAAGAUUUAACAUUUUAACUCUUUUAUUUAAAAAACUUUUUCAAAUUAUUUUUAAAGUAAAAAAACUUUUCUAAUAAAGAAAGACGACAAGACCCUAUUGAACUUAACUUCAGUUAAACUGGGGUAGUCUAUUAAUUAUAAUUUUAACAAAUAUAUAAUCUAAAAAAUCUUUCAUAGUAAAAUUAUCCAGUUACCAUAGGGAUAACAGCGCAAUUAUAUUUUUAAGAUCCUAUUUAAAAAAUAGAUUACGACCUCGAUGUUGAAUUAAUAACCUAAUUUUUAAAGCAAAAAUUAAUAAAGGAAGUCUGUUCGACUUUUAAAAAUUUACAUGAUUUGAGUUCAAACCGGUGUAAGCCAGGUUGGUUUCUAUCUUCUAUACAUUUAUUACAGUACGAAAGGACCCAUUAAUUUAAUUUUAUUUUCAAAUUGGCAGAAAAUUGCAUUAGAAUUAGAAUCUAAAUAUAAAAAU